GUAGGCGGUUUAAUAAGUGAAUAGCGAAACCUGGUGGCUCAACCAUACAGACUAUUAUUCAAACUGUUAAACUCGAGAAUGGUAGAGGUAACNUGGAAUUUCUAGUGUAGGAGUGAAAUCCGUAGAUAUUAGAAGGAACACCGAUGGCGUAGGCAGGUUACUGGGCCAUUUCUGACGCUAAGGCACGAAAGCGUGGGGAGCGAACCGGAUUAGAUACCCGGGUAGUCCACGCCGUAAACGAUGGAUACUAGCUGUUGGAGGUAUCGACCCCUUCAGUAGCGAAGCUAACGCGUUAAGUAUCCCGCCUGUGGAGUACGGCCGCAAGGCUAAAACAUAAAGGAAUUGACGGGGACCCGCACAAGCGGUGGAUUAUGUUCUUUAAUUCGAUGAUAACCGAAGAACCUUACCAGGGCUUGACAUCCAGGGAAGGUCUGCGAAAGUAGACUGUGCCUUUUGGAACCCUGUGACAGGUGAUGCAUGGCCGUCGUCAGCUCGUGUCGUGAGAUGUUAGGUUAAGUCCUUCGACGAGCGCAACCCUUGUGAAUAGUUGUAUCUUUCUAUUCAGACUGCCCCGGUAACGGGGAGGAAGGAGGGGAUGAUGUCAGGUCAGUAUUUCCCUUACGUCCUGGGCUAGAAACGUAAUACAAUGGCUAGUACAAUGCGCAGCGAAGCCCCGAGGUGAAGCAAAUCGCAUCAAAGCUAGUCCCAGUUCGGAU
Molecule: ribosomal RNA, 716 nt
Filed under: uncultured Candidatus Saccharibacteria bacterium
Lineage: Bacteria; Candidatus Saccharimonadota
Description: bacterial SSU rRNA
Rfam family: Bacterial small subunit ribosomal RNA
Source: RNAcentral